Molecule: unclassified non-coding RNA, 334 nt
Filed under: soil metagenome
Description: partial contains 5.8S ribosomal RNA, internal transcribed spacer 2, and large subunit ribosomal RNA
Rfam family: 5.8S ribosomal RNA (bases 1-120)
Source: RNAcentral
GAUGAAGAACGCAGCGAAAUGCGAUAAGUAGUGUGAAUUGCAGAAUUCAGUGAAUCAUCGAAUCUUUGAACGCACAUUGCGCCCCUUGGUAUUCCAUGGGGCAUGUCUGUUCGAGCGUCAUUUGUACCUUCAAGCUUUGCUUGGUGUUGGGUGUUUGUCCAUUCUCUUGCAGAGGGACUCGCCUUAAAGUAAUUGGCAGCCAGUGUUUUGGUUUUGAAGCGCAGCACAAGUCGCGAUUCAACGCUAUACGCCAGCUUCCACAAGCCUUUUUCACUUUUGACCUCGGAUCAGGUAGGGAUACCCGCUGAACUUAAGCAUAUCAAUAAGCGGAGGA